GAGAGGUAAACCCAAGUCUUCUGGACAACAAGGCUUGCUAUCUCUCUCUCUCUCUCUCUCUCUCUCUCUCUCUCUCUCUCUCUCUCUCUCUCUCUCUCUCUCUCUCUCUCUCUCUCUCUCCAUGAGGUCACACUUCUCAGUGUAUUUCUCAAUUCCACUCAGAGGAUUAUUGAAUUUUUUUCCAUCUAUGGUGCCUGCCCGAGAUAUAUGCACUAAUACAAGAAGAAGGGAUCACAAAAGAACCAUUGUAUAGUUUCAAGAAGCACAAGGUCAAAGAGACCAACCAAUCCUGGUGGGACUGAUGAGAAUCUAUACCAAGACAGAGGAUUUGUUUUGAGUAUGAGGAUGUGACUGUGAAAAUGGCUCUUGGAACUCAAAUUUCACCACAGUCUUUGUCACUGGGACAAGAUUUGAUGGAUCAACCUUGGCCUCAUUUAGCUAUGGAGAUGAUUCCCCAGGAUGCAUUCAUGCCCGUUUUCUUCCGAGCGCUAUCUUUUCCAUCACCACAGCUUGACACAAUGAUCACAGGCAUAUAUCCCCCUAUAUCCCAGCAUGACUUCACUGUGACACAGCUUUUCCAGUCAAAAGAAGGAUCUGUCCUUUGAAGCCAAAACUUGCAUAAAAUACAUAUGUUUUUCCAUUAACCACCAAAGCAGCUUUUCUUAUUAACAACUAUAACAGGUUUUCAGCUCCCAUACCAACAUGUUUUUGAUUUCUUAAAGGUUCCAAGCACCCUUCCUAUAUAGUCUGAAAUACUUUUAAAUUGAAUAUAAUAGUUUUAAAAACAGAUGGCGAACAGUUUCUCCAAGUUACAGAACUGUAUAUGAGGCACAUAGCACAGCUCCCU
RNAcentral lists this long non-coding RNA (847 nucleotides) under Monodelphis domestica (gray short-tailed opossum). RNAcentral's name for it is "lncRNA (ENSMODG00000030887.2)". Lineage: Eukaryota; Metazoa; Chordata; Mammalia; Didelphimorphia; Didelphidae. The record is from RNAcentral.